UACAGAGGUCUCAAGCGUUGUUCGGAUUCAUUGGGCGUAAAGGGUGCGUAGGCGGGCAGGUAAGUCCGUGGUGAAAUCUCUGAGCUUAACUCAGAAACUGCCAUGGAUACUAUUUGUCUUGAAUGUUGUGGAGGUAAGCGGAAUAUGUCAUGUAGCGGUGAAAUGCUUAGAUAUGACAUAGAACACCAAUUGCGAAGGCAGCUUACUACACAAAUAUUGACGCUGAGGCACGAAAGCGUGGGGAUCAAACAGG
RNAcentral lists this ribosomal RNA (253 nucleotides) under uncultured bacterium. RNAcentral's name for it is "partial 16S ribosomal RNA". It matches the Rfam family "Bacterial small subunit ribosomal RNA", at positions 524 to 776 of the family's 1533-position model. The record is from RNAcentral.